CUCAGGUGUUGUUGGGUAGGGGAGCGUUCUGUAAGCCUGUGAAGGUGUGUCGUGAGGCAUGCUGGAGGUAUCAGAAGUGCGAAUGCUGACAUAAGUAACGAUAAAGCGGGUGAAAAGCCCGCUCGCCGGAAGACCAAGGGUUCCUGUCCAACGUUAAUCGGGGCAGGGUGAGUCGACCCCUAAGGCGAGGCCGAAAGGCGUAGUCGAUGGGAAACGGGUUAAUAUUCCCGUACUUGGUGUUACUGCGAAGGGGGGACGGAGAAGGCUAUGUUGGCCGGGCGACGGUUGUCCCGGUUUAAGCGUGUAGGUGUGUGUUCCAGGUAAAUCCGGUUCACUUUAACACUGAGGCGUGAUGACGAGGCACUACGGUGCUGAAGCAACAAAUGCCCUGCUUCCAGGAAAAGCCUCUAAGCAUCAGGUAACAUCAAAUCGUACCCCAAACCGACACAGGUGGUCAGGUAGAGAAUACCAAGGCGCUUGAGAGAACUCGGGUGAAGGAACUAGGCAAAAUGGUGCCGUAACUUCGGGAGAAGGCACGCUGACACGUAGGUGAAGUGAUUUACUCAUGGAGCUGAAGUCAGUCGAAGAUACCAGCUGGCUGCAACUGUUUAUUAAAAACACAGCACUGUGCAAACACGAAAGUGGACGUAUACGGUGUGACGCCUGCCCGGUGCCGGAAGGUUAAUUGAUGGGGUCAGCGCAAGCGAAGCUCCUGAUCGAAGCCCCGGUAAACGGCGGCCGUAACUAUAACGGUCCUAAGGUAGCGAAAUUCCUUGUCGGGUAAGUUCCGACCUGCACGAAUGGCGUAAUGAUGGCCAGGCUGUCUCCACCCGAGACUCAGUGAAAUUGAACUCGCUGUGAAGAUGCAGUGUACCCGCGGCAAGACGGAAAGACCCCGUGAACCUUUACUAUAGCUUGACACUGAACAUUGAGCCUUGAUGUGUAG
RNAcentral lists this ribosomal RNA (946 nucleotides) under Salmonella enterica subsp. enterica serovar Bareilly. RNAcentral describes it as "partial 23S ribosomal RNA". It matches the Rfam family "Bacterial large subunit ribosomal RNA", at positions 1213 to 2141 of the family's 2925-position model. RNAcentral also lists the same sequence under 1 other name. Lineage: Bacteria; Pseudomonadati; Pseudomonadota; Gammaproteobacteria; Enterobacterales; Enterobacteriaceae. The record is from RNAcentral.